RNAcentral lists this long non-coding RNA (1152 nucleotides) under Malus domestica (apple). RNAcentral describes it as "long non-coding RNA (MDOM_LNC001982)". The record is from RNAcentral. Lineage: Eukaryota; Viridiplantae; Streptophyta; Magnoliopsida; Rosales; Rosaceae.
AUGGCUAUAAAUUUUCCUUUAUACCACCUCACAAUGGAGUGGCAAACUUGCAAUUAAGCCAAAUUCACUACCCCUCUCUAUAUGGCCGGUUUUCCCAAGCCUUUGAGCUGUUUUGGGCUUCUUGAAUUUUGUUUGUUAAGUUGUCAUACAACUUAAGCUAAUGGGCUUGACGAUUCGAAGCCCAAAACUAACUCAAGGUUUAAAACGAACUUAUUCAUUUGAUUAAUUAACAUAUUAAUUAAUUCUUGCCAUAAACAAUUAAACCAUUUAAUUGUCAUUACUCAUCUCCGUCAAAUCCUUCAAGCAUUACCUUACACGGUGUGUGAUCCAUUAGGUUCCUUUUAGCGAGGUAGUAGGCGAUUAGAACUCUUUCAAAUCGAUUGUGAAUUGAAACUUACUUUCAAUUCUCCCUUUAGUGAUUAUACACGUUUAGGGCUUCCACAAACCAUGAGUGACACCUAGCCAAUGUCAUGGUUACCCAAGCUAAUUAGAAGAGGUGGAGAACCUAUUCAGUUUAGGAUUACAAUGCAAUACGGUCUUUCUCUAAUACAAUACUUUUGACCACAUUGUUUGGUUUGAUAGUUUAUUCAUGUCUACUAUCCAAUGCGAUUCAUUUACUUAUAUGAUUACCUUGAAUGUGAUUUGGAAUGACUUCCUAAAUCUCAUUCAUACUCUGGCCAGAGAUUCUUAAUCAUAUCAUAGAGUAUUCUCCCUCAAACAGUUUGAAGGUUAGAGAUCCCUUGUUGCGCAUUCACUUGCCUCCAUGGCUAAGUGGCUUAACCCCAACUAUGUCGUGAACACCCUCGGAUGGAGUGACUUUGACAUAGUCAAAGAUCAAGGACCUAACCACAAGACAACUAUGAUGUCUCAGGUCAAAGAACUACUUUGCAUUAUCCCAACCAUGAGUUCUCAUGUGACGUGAGUAUGAGAACUCCUUGUUGAUCGCGUUCAGUGAACUCAUUCUCUAUUGAGCACCUACGUACUUGUCUUGGUGUCAGUCACACCAAUGACUCGAGACCAGUCACUCUCCCUAAGAGAAGACAUAACACGUACUGAUCUUAACGGACUGUCAAUGCCUAAUUGGCAAUCCUAUGAUCAGGAACGUUUAGGAUAUGUAUACGAAAGAGAAUGGUCUCAUGAAUCUAACUUCUU